GAUUAACGCUAGCGGCAGGCAUAAUACAUGCAAGUUGAACGGCAGCACAGGUAGCAAUACUGGGUGGCGAGUGGCGCACGGGUGCGUAACACGUAUGCAACCUACCCUAUACAGGCGAAUAACCUUUAGAAAUGAGGGCUAAUACGCCGUAGUAUUACAGAUGGGCAUCUAUUUGUAAUUAAAGAUUUAUCGGUAUAGGAUGGGCAUGCGUCCCAUUAGUUAGUUGGUAAGGUAACGGCUUACCAAGACGAUGAUGGGUAGGGGAUCUGAGAGGACUUACCCUCACACUGGUACUGAGACACGGACCAGACUCCUACGGGAGGCAGCAGUAAGGAAUAUUGGGCAAUGGCCGCGAGGCUGACCCAGCCAUGCCGCGUGCAGGAAGACGGCCUUAUGGGUUGUAAACUGCUUUUAUACGGGAAUAAUAGAGUGUACGCGUACAUUUAUGCAAGUAUCGUAUGAAUAAGCAUCGGCUAACUCCGUG
Molecule: ribosomal RNA, 484 nt
Filed under: uncultured bacterium
Lineage: Bacteria
Description: partial 16S ribosomal RNA
Rfam family: Bacterial small subunit ribosomal RNA
Source: RNAcentral